RNAcentral lists this ribosomal RNA (253 nucleotides) under uncultured bacterium. RNAcentral's name for it is "partial 16S ribosomal RNA". It matches the Rfam family "Bacterial small subunit ribosomal RNA", at positions 524 to 776 of the family's 1533-position model. The record is from RNAcentral.
UACAGAGGUCUCAAGCGUUGUUCGGAUUCAUUGGGCGUAAAGGGUGCGUAGGUGGCAUGGUAAGUCGGAUGUGAAAUCCCGGGGCUCAACCCCGGAACUGCAUUCGAUACUGCUGAGCUAGAGUACUGGAGAGGAGAUUGGAAUUUACGGUGUAGCAGUGAAAUGCGUAGAUAUCGUAAGGAAGACCGGUGGCGAAGGCGGAUCUCUGGACAGUUACUGACACUGAGGCACGAAGGCCAGGGGAGCAAACGGG